This 274-nucleotide ribosomal RNA is filed under the name uncultured bacterium. Its description in RNAcentral is "partial 16S ribosomal RNA". It matches the Rfam family "Archaeal small subunit ribosomal RNA", at positions 473 to 747 of the family's 1478-position model. The record is from RNAcentral.
AAACCAGCACCUCAAGUGGUCAGGAUGAUUAUUGGGCCUAAAGCAUCCGUAGCCGGCUCUGUAAGUUUUCGGUUAAAUCUGUACGCUUAACGUACAGGCUGCUGGGAAUACUGCAGAGCUAGGGAGUGGGAGAGGUAGACGGUACUCGGGAGGAAGUGGUAAAAUGCUUUGAUCUCUCGAUGACCACCUGUGGCGAAGGCGGUCUACCAGAACACGUUCGACGGUGAGGGAUGAAAGCUGGGGGAGCAAACCGGAUUAGAAACCCGAGUAGUCC